This 46-nucleotide non-coding RNA is filed under the name Trichobilharzia regenti. The record is from RNAcentral. Lineage: Eukaryota; Metazoa; Platyhelminthes; Trematoda; Strigeidida; Schistosomatidae.
AUACUGCCGAAGAGUCCCAAACUAGGACGAAACAGUUGUCCAGUAC